Molecule: non-coding RNA, 21 nt
Filed under: Caenorhabditis elegans
Lineage: Eukaryota; Metazoa; Nematoda; Chromadorea; Rhabditida; Rhabditidae
Source: RNAcentral
UGUUUGAUUUGACAUUCAAUA